Molecule: transfer RNA, 70 nt
Filed under: Sphaerodactylus townsendi
Lineage: Eukaryota; Metazoa; Chordata; Lepidosauria; Squamata; Sphaerodactylidae
Description: tRNA-Pro
Source: RNAcentral
GGCUGUAGCUUAGUGGUAGAUCAUCUGGUUGGGAUGCAGAAGGUAACAAGUUCAAUCCCUGGCAACGUCA